UGUGAAAACGCCCUUAAAUCCCCAUGGGAUAAGGAGCUGGUUUUUUUGCACCGAAAUUCUGCCCAAAACACCCUAGCUUAUGCCACACCCACAAGGGGUACUCAGCAGUGAUUGACAUUAUUUAUAAGCGCCAGCUUGACUCAGUUAAAGUAAAGAGAGCCGGCAAAUCUGGUGCCAGCCGCCGCGGUUACCCCACGUGGCUCAAAUUGAUUUCUUUCGGCGUAAAGCGUGAUUAAAGUGCCCAUCAACAUUGGAGUUAAACUAAAAUUAACCUGUGACACGCUUAUUUUACAGAAAAGCACAAACGAAAGUUACUUCAAUUUAAACAACUUGAAUUCACGACAGUCAGGACACAAACUGGGAUUAGAUACCCCACUAUGCCCGACCGUAAACUUUAAUUUACACCAUCACCGCCAGAGAACUACGAGCAAAGCUUAAAACUCAAAGGACUUGACGGUCCCCCACAUCCCCCCUAGAGGAGCCUGUCCUUUAAUCGAUAAUCCCCGCUUAACCUCACCAUUCUUAGUCUUUCAGCCUGUAUACCUCCGUCGUCAGCUUACCCCGUGAGCGAAAAUUAGUGAGCUUAAUGUCCACACCGUCUACACGUCAGGUCAAGGUGCAGC
Molecule: ribosomal RNA, 623 nt
Filed under: Megaelosia goeldii (Rio big-tooth frog)
Lineage: Eukaryota; Metazoa; Chordata; Amphibia; Anura; Hylodidae
Description: partial 12S ribosomal RNA
Rfam family: Bacterial small subunit ribosomal RNA
Source: RNAcentral